AACGAACGCUGGCGGCAUGCCUAACACAUGCAAGUCGAACGAGACCUUCGGGUCUAGUGGCGCACGGGUGCGUAACGCGUGGGAACCUGCCCUUAGGUUCGGAAUAACUCCCCGAAAGGGGUGCUAAUACCGGAUAAUGUCUUCGGACCAAAGAUUUAUCGCCUUUGGAUGGGCCCGCGUUGGAUUAGCUAGUUGGUAGGGUAAAAGCCUACCAAGGCGACGAUCCAUAGCUGGUCUGAGAGGAUGAUCAACCACACUGGGACUGAGACACGGCCCAGACUCCUAUGGGAGGCAGCAGUGGGGAAUAUUGGACAAUGGGCGAAAGCCUGAUCCAGCAAUGCCGCGUGAGUGAUGAAGGCCUUAGGGUUGUAAAGCUCUUUUACCCGGGAUGAUAAUGACAGUACCGGGAGAAUAAGCGCCGGCUAACUCCGUG
RNAcentral lists this ribosomal RNA (433 nucleotides) under uncultured bacterium. Its description in RNAcentral is "partial 16S ribosomal RNA". It matches the Rfam family "Bacterial small subunit ribosomal RNA", at positions 29 to 507 of the family's 1533-position model. The record is from RNAcentral.